This 719-nucleotide long non-coding RNA is filed under the name Scophthalmus maximus (turbot). RNAcentral's name for it is "lncRNA (ENSSMAG00000022822.1)". The record is from RNAcentral. Lineage: Eukaryota; Metazoa; Chordata; Actinopteri; Pleuronectiformes; Scophthalmidae.
GGCGAGAGGAGUGGUGUCACCAUGGAGAUGCGGAGGCGAAGGGUCUGAGUCACGGUGUCAUGCAGGUGCUUCUGCGGGGGAGAUUCAAACACCCUAAUUUUUGUUUUACGAUUCGUGCAUGAAUGCACCGGCCCCUAAAGGUUGUCCCAGGUGAACUACCAUAAGGGGUAACAUGUCUUCACCCCUCAUGACUGCUGCUAUCCUCCACCAGCGCUCUCAUAGCAUCAUGGUCACAGUCAGCAGACGUUUGCAGCAAAACAGCCCUAAUGGAUCCACUGUUCACCACCUGCUCAUGGUGAGGAUGUAUUUUAGGUCAUUUUUUUGCAUUUUGAGUAUAAAAGUUGAAAAGUCGCUAAUAAAAUUGUGCUAAAUCAGAGAAAUUUAAUUUUUUGCAUUCAACAUAUUGCGAAUAAAGCCCAAAAUGUGCAGAACAAACUUGAAAUUUCCAGACAAAAGUCAAAGAACAUAUCAAACUACUAGUGUUAGGGUCUUUGAAGAGACAGUGUCUGUUCAGAAGGAGCUUGGGAAGAUGGAACACUGGCGGGUCACAAGGCUGUCAGUCGCUCCUCUAACUGGGAUUUGACGGACCAGAGGAGUCGACUUUAUUCGAAAUGCAAAAAAAAAUAUUCCUUUGACUUAGUUUGACUUUAUUCUUGACAUUUCAUCUUUAUCCUCUAGAUUUUCACUUUUAUUCUAGACAUGCCAAAGGAUUUUUUUUC